This 576-nucleotide unclassified non-coding RNA is filed under the name Tilia platyphyllos. RNAcentral describes it as "sequence contains 18S rRNA gene, ITS1, 5.8S rRNA gene, ITS2, 28S rRNA gene". The stretch from base 164 to 319 matches the Rfam family "5.8S ribosomal RNA". The record is from RNAcentral. Lineage: Eukaryota; Viridiplantae; Streptophyta; Magnoliopsida; Malvales; Malvaceae.
GGGUGAGACGCGCGGUCACGUCGUUCGUGGCCAAACAACGAACCCCCGGCGUGAAUUGCGCCAAGGAACCAUAUAACGAAGAAGAGCACGUCGGCAGUUGCCGCCCCGUUCGCGGUGUGCGUGUGUACAGCCUCGUGACUCCUUUCUUGUGAAAAUUUAAAACGACUCUCGGCAACGGAUAUCUCGGCUCUCGCAUCGAUGAAGAACGUAGCGAAAUGCGAUACUUGGUGUGAAUUGCAGAAUCCCGUGAACCAUCGAGUCUUUGAACGCAAGUUGCGCCCCAAGCCAUUAGGCCGAGGGCACGCCUGCCUGGGUGUCACGCAUCGUCGCCCCCUCCACCCUUUAGCCCGACAAAAGGCUAAGGGCGUUGAUGGGACGGAAAAUGGCCUCCCGUAUGCUCCCAGCUUGCGGUUGGCCCAAACGCGAGUCCUCGGCAACGAAUGGCGCCGUGAUGAUCGGUGGUAAUGCUCCUAGCGUGCCUUGUCUCCAGUCGCGCGCGCCCGUUGUCCGUGCGGACCCCCUCGGACCCUUUUGUGCAUCGCUCGAACGAUGCUCGCAUCGCGACCCCAGGUCAGG